CUUGACCAUUUAAACCACCAUUUACCAAUCACCUGUACCUGCCAGGCACUGUUGUAAGUUGAGAGCCUGGAAGCAGGUCCCAUGAGGCUGCUGCCCUUGUGGGGCUGGAAUUCUAUAGCAAGAGAUGGACAAUCAAACAUCAGAUGAAUACGGUGCAGAGAAUAACUGAACAUGUCUAGCAGAAGGUGGUGAGGAAAGGCCUCCGGAAGUUGAGAUCUGAAUGACCAGAAGGGGUCCCCUUGUGACCAGUGCAAGGCUAUUUACUCACAGGGGACAGCACAGCACUUCCCAAGGCAUGGGUGGCAGGAGCCUGGGCAGAGCAUUAGGAUGUUAUGUAUUCCAGGGUGGUAUUGGCUGCAGACUCCAGGUAGGUAACCACGGGGCUUUAGGUAGGGAAGAAGCAUUAUGUUUUUAAAACUCAAUGUUGCUGCUGUGUAUAGAAUGGAAGCGCACAGGUAGAAGCAAGAAGACCAAUUAGGGGACUGUCACAGGCAUCCUGAAGAGAUGAGCACAGCUUGGCCUCAGGGAAUGGGGGAGAUGACUAAAAAGCCUCUCCUGUCCUACCCAUUUUUCUCCCCUCCACCUUUGCGUUGUUAUCAUUUCUGGCACAUUGGUAACUGCAUUUAUUCUAUUGCUCUGCUUAACUGAGGUAGGGAAAGGGUUCAAGAUAAAAAAAACAAAUACUUAGAUGUUUUUACUUGACAUUGUUUCAUCUAUAUUCUAUAGUGUUGUGGGACCCAGGACUAUUAGGCACCUAGGCCAAGGCCUUCUUCCUCCUCAUAGUCCAAUAAAUAGUAUUUCCAAUGUUGAUUAGAAUUCUGUUUUAAUACCUUUUGCUUUUUGAGAACCGCAGAGUGGUAACUAGAUCAUCCAUUUCAUGGCCAUCGCAGCAAUAAUUGUAUAUGUGAGUAACCUUGAAAGGUCCAGGUCUGCUGCCACCCACAAGAGCCAGUGUCUGGAGAGACAGUAAUGGGGCGAGAAAGGGUUUGAUUAACAACAAACUGGCAAAUUGGGUGUAGGGAAGCUAAUACAUUCUCCAGCUUUCCCAGCACCAUGGAGAAAAGGUUUACAUAGCACCUUCUUUUUAAUUGAUUUUAUUUUUUAAAUACAUGACAGUGGAAUGCAUUACAAUUCUUAUUACACAUAUAGAGCACAAUUUUUCA
This 1163-nucleotide long non-coding RNA is filed under the name Marmota monax (woodchuck). Lineage: Eukaryota; Metazoa; Chordata; Mammalia; Rodentia; Sciuridae. The record is from RNAcentral.